UUUGAUCAUGGCUCAGAACGUACGCUGGCGGCACGCCUAACACAUGCAAGUCGAACGAAGUAGCAAUACUUAGUGGCAGACGGGUGAGUAACAUGUGGGUAUCUGCCCUUUGGCCUGGAAUAACACGAGGAAACUUGUGCUAAUACCGGAUAAGUCUUUACGGAGAAAGCUUUAUGCACCAUUGGAUGAGCCCGCACUUGAUUAGUUUGUUGGUGGGGUAAUGGCCUACCAAGACUGUGAUCAAUAGCUGAUUUGAGAGGAUGAUCAGCCACAUUGGGACUGAGACACGGCCCAAACUCCUACGGGAGGCAGCAGUGGGGAAUCUUGCACAAUGGAGGAAACUCUGAUGCAGCGAUGCCGCGUGAGUGAAGAAGGCCCUUGGGUUGUAAAGCUCUUUCGUCGGGGAAGAAAAUGACUGUACCCGAAUAAGAAGGUCCGGCUAACUUCGUGCCAGCAGCCGCGGUAAUACGAAGGGACCUAGCGUAGUUCGGAAUUACUGGGCUUAAAGAGUUCGUAGGUGGUUGAAAAAGUUGGUGGUGAAAUCCCAGAGCUUAACUCUGGAACUGCCAUCAAAACUUUUCAGCUAGAGUAUGAUAGAGGAAAGCAGAAUUUCUAGUGUAGAGGUGAAAUUCGUAGAUAUUAGAAAGAAUACCAAUUGCGAAGGCAGCUUUCUGGAUCAUUACUGACACUGAGGAACGAAAGCAUGGGUAGCGAAGAGGAUUAGAUACCCUCGUAGUCCAUGCCGUAAACGAUGUGUGUUAGACGUUGGAAAUUUAUUUUCAGUGUCGCAGCGAAAGCAAUAAACACACCGCCUGGGGAGUACGACCGCAAGGUUAAAACUCAAAUGAAUUGACGGGGACCCGCACAAGUAGUGGAGCAUGUGGUUUAAUUCGAAGAUACGCGCAGAACCUUACCAACACUUGACAUGUUCGUCGCGACUCUAAGAGAUUAGAGUUUUCGGUUCGGCCGGACGAAACACAGGUGCUGCAUGGCUGUCGUCAGCUCGUGUCGUGAGAUGUUGGGUUAAGUCCCGCAACGAGCGCAACCCUCACUUUUAGUUGCCAUCAUUAAGUUGGGCACUCUGAAAGAACUGCCAGUGAUAAGCUGGAGGAAGGUGGGGAUGACGUCAAGUCCUCAUGGCCCUUACGUGUUGGGCUACACACGUGCUACAAUGGUAUCUACAACAGGAAGCAAGACUGCGAAGUUAAGCAAAUCCCUAAAAGAUACCUCAGUUCGGAUUGCACUCUGCAACUCGAGUGCAUGAAGCUGGAAUUACUAGUAAUCGUGGAUCAGCGUGCCACGGUGAAUGCGUUCCCGGGUCUUGUACACACCGCCCGUCACACCAUGGGAGUUGGUUCUACCUUAAGGCAAGGUUUCAAACCCUUGACCACGGUAUAGUCAGCGACUGGGGUGAAGUCAUAACAAGGUAACCGUA
RNAcentral lists this ribosomal RNA (1435 nucleotides) under uncultured bacterium. RNAcentral's name for it is "bacterial SSU rRNA". It matches the Rfam family "Bacterial small subunit ribosomal RNA". The record is from RNAcentral.